GUUGAUUGGUCUGCUAGGUCGCUUUGGUUCAACACCAUUUUUGGUUGGUGGAAGAUAGCCUGGAAGGCUGCAUGGUUUCCCAUUUACUUUCACACACAGAUUGGGUGGGAAGUGAUCUUCUUGUGGACAACUGGUUUCUGAUAAACAAAACCUUAGCUGGACCUGUACUGUGAAGUCGCAUUUGGUCCCAGAAAUAUCCAUUGAACUGCUGAU
RNAcentral lists this long non-coding RNA (213 nucleotides) under Gallus gallus (chicken). Lineage: Eukaryota; Metazoa; Chordata; Aves; Galliformes; Phasianidae. The record is from RNAcentral.